Molecule: long non-coding RNA, 2099 nt
Organism: Macrobrachium nipponense
Lineage: Eukaryota; Metazoa; Arthropoda; Malacostraca; Decapoda; Palaemonidae
Exons: 3
Source: RefSeq, a predicted model, not a curated record
UCCGUCGCUAAGCAACCAGUUGGGGUAAAUCUAUAUUACUAUUCCGCGGCGGCCUAGACUAUGGCAGUUGCCGUUUUUCUAUGUAGUUUUACCUACUGAACAAGAAUUUUAAGUAUGAUUUAUUCGGAUGACUGUAAUUAAUCCCCAGGGGCUCGUACUAAACACGGCGAAAUACAUUUGACGCCCCAAUUCCUGGUGGCUUUCGUAUUCGCAGGGACAAACGAUGCGGAAUGCUCAUAUAGAAAUACCCCAGUUGGUUCCUAGCAACGUAAAUGAAAAUCUAAUCCAUCGGACCAACCUUAGGAGAGCUGUUAAUUAGCUCAGAGGUCUGGUUAAACCAAGAUAUACUUGAGUUAUUUGAAGCCUUGUGCACACAUGGAAGGAUAUUAAUUAGCAGUUGGUUUAACUGUAUUCUCAAAGUUCCAAGUCAGUGAGGUUGCUGAUGAUAUGAUGUGCAUAUAAUGGGAUUUGCAGCAAAAUCUUUCUGUAGGCUUAAUACCUCUUCACAAUGUCCAAUUACUACUACUCCAAAUAUAUAUAUCUUGCUGUACCCCACAUUACUGUAAUCAGUGAGAAUACAUAUAUAAAACUUGUCAAAAUGUUCGGUAAUUAAAAUUAAAUCAUGUAAUGACAUUAUUUUAUGACUAAGGGAAUGUCGUCAUAAACAUAAAUGGGUCCGUCUUAUUAGAAACAAAAUAUUGAAAACUAGAUUUUGGGGGUUUUCCGGUCUACAAUUCGAUUUCAACCAUUCGGAGAUAUUGAGCACCUGCUGAUACACCUUGAGAUUUGUAGCUUCAUCUAAUUUAUCACAUCAGUUGUGUCACUGGUAAACCGUUAUAUUUCACCAAUUAGGAUAUUAGAUAACUUAUUCAAAGUUUAAUAAUUUUUCAGGAUUAAUCUCCAAUCUGAGGAUUCUGAAUCCUGAUACUUCAUCUGGAAUAUGGAUUUACAGUAUAGAAGUUUAAGUAUGGAACAUGCACGGCAAGUUUUUGGAAUAUAGACAAGUCAAUCUUCAUUCAGAAUAUUAAAUUAGGACGAACCUAAUCACUAUUCAUCACAACUGCCCAAUCUUAACCUAACUCGAACCUUUCAAAGAUGCAAGAUGAACCCAGGAAGGAUAUCGAUGUUCAUCCUCACUAGUCUAAGAAUAACAGCACCAACAGCAAGAUCGAUGACUUGAGUACCUCGAUGAGGCCUAGCCAUUGAGAAGGGACGUCACGAGUUGUGGAAAGAGGUAGCAAACAUUAUUUCUAAAACUAAUUAGUGUAGAAAGAAGUAGCAAGAUGAUUUCUUCAAUCAACUCUUAUGGUCAAAUAAACAAGGCUGGGUUAUUUUGCCAACCUACAAGGGUAUAGUCAAUACAGUGACUAUUGGGUGCCGAUAGCUGUUGAAGCAGUUUUUAUGUCUAACAGCAGCCAAUUUUGGACACAACGAACACGUGCCAUAUAUGUUGAAGAGUAGUGAGGUGCCUUCAGAUUGUGCAGAGACAGAGGCCUUAUGAAAAGUGUUAAUUUUCAGUGCAAGGUUUUGACUUCUUGUAUGCUGGGGAAAUUUGAUACAUGGCAGUAUUUACACCCGAACCAAUGUCUACACAGCACAACUAUACUCCUGGCAUGGUAUAAUGGAAAAAUGAAAAAGCGUAUACAUGUCUACAAUAAUAUUAAAGACACGUACAAUUUUUUUCAAUUAAUACAUAUCUAUACGGCAACUUGAAAACUUUACAAUUUUCUCACUGCUAAGCAGUAGUGCACCAAGUACAAGACCCCUGUUAUUUUGUGUUUAAAUAAACACUGAACUCUCUGCUCUCUGAAGAGAACAUCUGCCAUGUAAACUGCCACUGAAGAAUAAAGUAGUUGUUGUUGCCCAGAACUGUAAAAUUUGUUUCACAUUAUUGGUGAUGUUAAGACUGUCCACCAAGGUAAGGUGGACAGCCAUAAUUGUCGGGCUUCUUUCGUGGAUAAUUUAGCAAAAAUUUCAACACAAGAAUUACAAUUAGACUUAAAAGUUUUUCAUGCCUUAAGUCAUCUGCGUGGUUACUUUUGCUGAAGGUCAGGUGUUAUGUUCCCCAUUUUAAUAUUUCUAGCUUGUGUUUCGUUCUA